Molecule: ribosomal RNA, 451 nt
Filed under: uncultured bacterium
Lineage: Bacteria
Description: bacterial SSU rRNA
Rfam family: Bacterial small subunit ribosomal RNA
Source: RNAcentral
ACCCAGACUCCUACGGGAGGCAGCAGUGGGGAAUAUUGGGCAAUGGGCGCAAGCCUGACCCAGCAACGCCGCGUGAAGGAAGAAGGCUUUCGGGUUGUAAACUUCUUUUGUCAGGGACGAAGCAAGUGACGGUACCUGACGAAUAGGCCACGGCUAACUACGUGCCAGCAGCCGCGGUAAUACGUAGGCGGCAAGCGUUAUCCGGAAUUACUGGGUGUAAAGGGUGUGUAGGCGGGGCUGCAAGUCAGAUGUGAAAAUUAUGGGCUCAACCCCUAACCUGCGUCUGAAACUGUAGCUCUUGAGAGUGGGAGAGGUAAGCGGAAUUCCCGGUGUAGCGUUGAAAUGCGUAGAUAUCGGGAGGAACACCAGUGGCGAAGGCGGUUUACUGGACCACAACUGACGCUGAGCCACGAAAGCGUGGGGAGCAACCAGGAUUAGAUACCCCAGUAAC